RNAcentral lists this transfer RNA (70 nucleotides) under Travisia sanrikuensis. RNAcentral describes it as "tRNA-Trp". The record is from RNAcentral. Lineage: Eukaryota; Metazoa; Annelida; Polychaeta; Opheliidae.
AAGAUUUUAAGUUAAUUUAUAAACUAAGAGCCUUCAAAGCUUUAAAUGACCUCCUUCUAGUCAAAUCUUG